CCUACGGGAGGCAGCAGUGGGGAAUAUUGGACAAUGGGGGGAACCCUGAUCCAGCCAUGCCGCGUGUGUGAAGAAGGCCCUCGGGUUGUAAAGCACUUUCAGUGAGGAAGAACGCCUGGUGGUUAAUACCCAUCAGGAAAGACAUCACUCACAGAAGAAGCACCGGCUAACUCCGUGCCAGCAGCCGCGGUAAUACGGAGGGUGCGAGUGUUAAUCGGAAUUACUGGGCGUAAAGCGCGCGUAGGUGGCUUGAUAAGCCGGUUGUGAAAGCCCCGGGCUCAACCUGGGAACGGCAUCCGGAACUGUCAAGCUAGAGUGCAGGAGAGGAAGGUAGAAUUCCCGGUGUAGCGGUGAAAUGCGUAGAGAUCGGGAGGAAUACCAGUGGCGAAGGCGGCCUUCUGGACUGACACUGACACUGAGGUGCGAAAGCGUGGGUAGCAAACAGGAUUAGAUACCCGUGUAGUC
RNAcentral lists this ribosomal RNA (465 nucleotides) under Vreelandella stevensii. RNAcentral describes it as "partial 16S ribosomal RNA". It matches the Rfam family "Bacterial small subunit ribosomal RNA", at positions 338 to 795 of the family's 1533-position model. Lineage: Bacteria; Pseudomonadati; Pseudomonadota; Gammaproteobacteria; Oceanospirillales; Halomonadaceae. The record is from RNAcentral.